UUCUUUCUAAUAUGACGGAAGAACUGGAGACCCUUAUGUAUAUUAGUGUCCAGACGAGACCCUACCCCCAUCUCCCCAUCUCACCUUACCCCUCAGAGAAUCCCUCGCAAGUUCCGCCGUAUGCCGCCUACCGGAAAUCGCCUCCGCCGACGGCGUUGCUCCAAUCAUCCCCAUUUUUACACCUUUAAUUCUUCUCUUUAUCCUCUUUCCAAAUCUCAAAACCUGCUCCCUCGAAUCCCAGCCUAGCUUCUUGAAUCUAGAAUUGAAGGUUAACAACCAAAACCCUAAUUUGUCCAAUUUGUCCCAAAAUUACACCCUAGGAUCCCCUUCAUCUCCUCAUCUCAAAUCCCUACCCAGUUUCCCUCAAUUCUCACCUAGAUUCCUCAAAUUUUGGAUCUGAAAUAUAGAGCUCUAGUCCCUAUU
This 423-nucleotide long non-coding RNA is filed under the name Nicotiana benthamiana. Its description in RNAcentral is "long non-coding RNA (NBEN_LNC008295)". The record is from RNAcentral. Lineage: Eukaryota; Viridiplantae; Streptophyta; Magnoliopsida; Solanales; Solanaceae.